CCGCUAUCUCAAGUAGCUUGUUGGCUGC
This 28-nucleotide small RNA is filed under the name Bombyx mori (domestic silkworm). Its description in RNAcentral is "ovarian small RNA-13883". The record is from RNAcentral. Lineage: Eukaryota; Metazoa; Arthropoda; Insecta; Lepidoptera; Bombycidae.